Pseudophryne corroboree (corroboree frog) is the source of this 570-nucleotide long non-coding RNA. RefSeq lists it as uncharacterized. Lineage: Eukaryota; Metazoa; Chordata; Amphibia; Anura; Myobatrachidae. The transcript has 3 exons. The record is from RefSeq and is a predicted model, not a curated record.
AAGUAGUAUAAUAUUGUUAUUUCUGCACCUUUGUGUAUGGAUUGGUUGGUGUAAUUGUUUCAUAAUUUAACUAUACACACCCAAUGAAGUCAGGCAGAAAAGCAUAAGCAUAGUUUGGUUCACUUCUCAUCAGGUUCCUCAUAUGUUUACAUCACAAUAAGGAUUUUGCAUAAACAUAUAAACAUAAUAGAAUGUUCAUAAGGACAAUCUUCAUAUUUCUACAGUACGAAAGAGACGCAGCACAGCCAGGCCACAACCCACACUGCCAAGAGAUGCAGAUGCUGGCGAUGCAGGUCCUUCUUCAUCAAACACCCCUCCACUAAGACGACCAUCACAGGGCUCGGAUAGACUCCAUAAGAUGCCUACCAAGAGACGCCGGCUUUAGGCUGAAUCUCCAGCAGCAUCCUCACUACCACAACGGCGCAUCUCUACAGUGUCGUCCCUGCCACCACAAGCCAUUUUGGCCAGUCCACAAAGCGAGGAUCCACAAUCCCCUCAGCUGUCUGGUCUCUACAACGGCUAUUGUGAUGAGGGAUGUGACAACUCGGAAACCAUCUACUAAAAAUCUAU